RNAcentral lists this small RNA (52 nucleotides) under Methylopila capsulata. RNAcentral's name for it is "ffh sRNA". It matches the Rfam family "ffh sRNA". RNAcentral also lists the same sequence under 1 other name. The record is from RNAcentral. Lineage: Bacteria; Pseudomonadati; Pseudomonadota; Alphaproteobacteria; Hyphomicrobiales; Methylopilaceae.
AGUUCCGGGGGUCAACGUCCGCCAGCGCGAUGCGCCCGCGGGCGCGAUUUGC